Molecule: small nuclear RNA, 107 nt
Organism: Cricetulus griseus (Chinese hamster)
Lineage: Eukaryota; Metazoa; Chordata; Mammalia; Rodentia; Cricetidae
Source: Ensembl
GUGCUUCUUUUUACUGCACCUAUGCUGAGAUUGGAAUGAUACAGAGUCAACUAGCCUGGCCCCUGUGCAAGGAUGCCACUCAAAUUUGCUAAGUGUUCCAUAUUGUU